AGUGAACGCUGGCGGUAGGCCUAACACAUGCAAGUCGAACGGCAGCACAGUAAGAGCUUGCUCUUACGGGUGGCGAGUGGCGGACGGGUGAGGAAUACAUCGGCAUCUACUUUUUCGUGGGGGAUAACGUAGGGAAACUUACGCUACUACCGCAUACGACCUACGGGUGAAAGCAGGGGAUCUUCGGACCUUGCUCGAUUGAAUGAGCCGAUGUCGGAUUAGCUAGUUGGCGGGGUAAAGGCCCACCAAGGCGACGAUCCGUAGCUGGUCUGAGAGGAUGAUCAGCCACACUGGAACUGAGGCACGGUCCAGACUCCUACGGGAGGCAGCAGUGGGGAAUAUUGGACAAUGGGCGCAAGCCUGAUCCAGCCAUACCGCGUGGGUGAAGAAGGCCUUCGGGUUGUAAAGCCCUUUUGUUGGGAAAGAAAAGCAGCAGGUUAAUACCUCGAUGUUCUGACGGUACCAAAAGAAUAAGCACCGGCUAACUUCGUG
Molecule: ribosomal RNA, 492 nt
Filed under: uncultured bacterium
Lineage: Bacteria
Description: partial 16S ribosomal RNA
Rfam family: Bacterial small subunit ribosomal RNA
Source: RNAcentral